RNAcentral lists this long non-coding RNA (1485 nucleotides) under Cairina moschata (Muscovy duck). Its description in RNAcentral is "domestica (muscovy Duck (domestic type)) lncRNA (ENSCMMG00000001141.1)". Lineage: Eukaryota; Metazoa; Chordata; Aves; Anseriformes; Anatidae. The record is from RNAcentral.
UUGGACCAGGUGGUCUUGAAGGACUUUUCCAGCCUUAAUGAUUCUAUGAUUCUCCUCAGGCACCUGCAGCUCUUCAUGCGCCUCAGCUCCAUUCAAGCUCUGGAGAAGGUGUUCCUCUGCGCCAGCCAUUUAAAAGCCCUGCUAGCACAGUUGCGCUUCAGAAAUAGCUUGGCCUUCAGACAGAGACAAUUUGGAUCGUGGUGUUCCCUUCAUUUUGUCUUGCAUUGUUUCAGUUGUGGAAGCUGUGACAGUAAAUUUCCCUUUCUGAUAUACAGGCACAUGCUUUUCUAGAAACCUCACACGCUUUGUGCAACCCGGAGAGAGGACAAUGGCAAGAAGCAUUAGUUUUAAGUCUGCUUUGAAUUCUAUGACUGUAGGAAACAUAUUCUCAUUGUCUCCAGGGUCCUUGCCAAGACUUGCAAACCUUGAAGGUCUCUGCUGUAUAUCCCUUUCCUUCUCUUUGUUCCUGGCUCUCCAUUAGCUGUCAUUGACCACAGUGUACUGGGUCUGGCCACACACAGUUGGGCAUUUUUAUCUUGUCAGUGCAAAAUGUUGUCUUGGACACUACCUGUUUGUGUGAGUACUGUUAUUCUGCCUCAGUUGCUUGUUCCAGAGGUAACAGAUUUUUGUUACUCAGCAUGCCAAGAAAGGGGAUGUUUUGGAUUCAGCUGGUAACUUCCCCACUGUUUGAUUGUUAUCAUAUGUGGAUUUUUUACCUAGCACUAUUUUUAGACGUGAAUGAUUAUCAAGGCCAUAACAUCCUUUCUUUGAAUGGCAGUUCCCAAGAAAGGAAAGGAAACAUGCUGGUUCAGAUAUUCUGCUGUGUAUCUGAGCAGACUCACAGCAACAAGCCAUUAAUAAAAGCCAACCCUUAACAACAGUUUUCAGUCCUGUUGCUUUCUUUUAUAUCCAAAAGAAAGAGACAGAGAUAGAGUUAUAAGUAUAACUUAACUAUUUUAAUAAAUCUUAUAUAGUGCAUGGUUAUAUCAUUUUAUCCUUCGUUCAAUUACAUUAAUGUACAGUGCAUUAUAGCAUUAUCUGCAGGCGGUACAAAUAUAACAGAUGCACAGCUCAGUCAUGUGGAAAUUUUUUAAAGUGACCUGCUAUAAGGUUUACUGACACUCUUAUUUUACAAAAUGCUCCCCUGGCUCUUAGUUUCACGGAACUGUUGUGUACAAUUCUAUUAAAAUCCCAAGUAACUAUAAUUCCAUGUGAUUCUAUGUUUAACCUCAUAGACAAAAACAAGAAAGGUAUCAUAUUCCCAAGCUCACCAUUUGUUUUUAUUUUCAUUUUAGAAACGAUUCUGCUUCCUGUGCUUAUAACACUAAUAGUUUGCCAGUAGUCACACCUGCUUCCCAUCUCCACCCAAAUCCGGAGCCAGGGCUUCUCAGGAGAAUUGUCCUCAUCAUCCCUCCCUGACCAGGUGAGUGCCCUUUGCAAAUUCCAGCCACUGUGGCAAGCCAGCAGCAUUGUGACUGAAAACAU